Molecule: ribosomal RNA, 429 nt
Filed under: Pseudomonadota bacterium
Lineage: Bacteria; Pseudomonadati; Pseudomonadota
Description: Proteobacteria bacterium partial 16S ribosomal RNA
Rfam family: Bacterial small subunit ribosomal RNA
Source: RNAcentral
UGGGGAAUAUUGGACAAUGGGCGAAAGCCUGAUCCAGCCAUGCCGCGUGUGUGAAGAAGGUCUUCGGAUUGUAAAGCACUUUAAGUUGGGAGGAAGGGCAGUAAGCGAAUACCUUGCUGUUUUGACGUUACCGACAGAAUAAGCACCGGCUAACUCUGUGCCAGCAGCUGCGGUAAUACAGAGGGUGCAAGCGUUAAUCGGAAUUACUGGGCGUAAAGCGCGCGUAGGUGGUUCGUUAAGUUGAAUGUGAAAGCCCCGGGCUCAACCUGGGAACUGCAUCCAAAACUGGCGAGCUAGAGUAGGGCAGAGGGUGGUGGAAUUUCCUGUGUAGCGGUGAAAUGCGUAGAUAUAGGAAGGAACACCAGUGGCGAAGGCGACCACCUGGGCUCAUACUGACACUGAGGUGCGAAAGCGUGGGGAGCAAACAGG